Molecule: long non-coding RNA, 6350 nt
Filed under: Equus caballus (horse)
Lineage: Eukaryota; Metazoa; Chordata; Mammalia; Perissodactyla; Equidae
Description: lncRNA (ENSECAG00000044386.1)
Source: RNAcentral
CAUAUGGGGCAAGCAACUCCUGAUACCGCCAGGAUGGGCUGGUUUAUUCAGUGUCUGUUAGCUGCGUUUAAAAGGUGUGUAGGAGUGAAGUAAUACAUAUUUACUUAAUUCUCUAGGCUAAGCUAUAAUAGUCAAAAUGGAAUGAAUAAUUAAAUGUAAAAGCGAUCUGGAGAUACAUCUGCAUAUGUUUUUGUAAUAUUAAGUUAGGGACAGAUUUUCCAACCAUAACUGAAGAGAGAAAUGCUAAAGGAAUACUGAGAUUUGACUUGAUAAUUAUGUGUAAACAUCCGAAUCAUCUAAAUGACAAUCAAUUAAUGAAAUAAAAAUUGAUGCAAGACAAAAAUUCAAUAACUUAACACAUAUAAUGAACAGACAGAUAAUCUCAAGGCACUGUGUUUUUGUCGCUCAAAAUAAUGGUCACUAGUCUAAGAGGAGAGUAGCAAUAACUAUAGAAAUAUAAAUUAUAUAUGCACAUUAUCAGCAUUACAUGAUGAUAGUUGAAAAUACAAAUUACCAUUAGUAAUAAACAUUAUCAUCAAAUGCACCAGAAUCAGAAUUACUUGACCUUUUAGGAAUUGAUCCUGCUCUCCAUAAUGAGUAACUAAGAAAAUAUGGGUCAUUUUUUUCCCUUAACUCUGUUUAUGCUCCUGAAUCUCCUGAUGCAUUUUAUUGCUCCAUCUUUUGCAUAAUUAUUUUUUGUAGCUUCUUUCUCUUCAGCUGAGAUAUCUCCUAUAUUCUCUUUACACUAUUCCAUAAAUGAUCCCAAUUUCUUCCUAGGCAUCAUUGGUGAAUUCCAUGCUUGUGAUGACAAUGUAGUGAUAAAUUAUCCAUGUGUUUUUUCUUCCAGUUUUGUCUGUUCCUCAAGUGACUCUCCUGGAUGUAGCAAUAGGCCAGUAGCGAUGCAUGACAUUUUGGUCAGGUCAGGCAGUGAGAAGGAAAGAAAAUCUAAACUCUCUCUUUGAGAUUUUCAAUGCAAGAUCUGGGUGGAAGCCGACAAAUAAUUUGGAAGUACCCACGAUUAGUCAGUAUGAGGAUUUUACGCUCCCUCAAGAGUAAUUGAGGUGGGGGGUCGGGAUGGGGGGUGAAAGGGAUGAAGAGGGUUGAAUAACAAACUUCCAGCUAUAAAUAAAUGUCUUGGGGAUGUAACGCACUUGUUGACUCUAUUUAUAUUUAUAUUAACUAUAGUUAAUAACGCUAUAUUGUGUAUUUGAAAGUGGCUGAGUAGAUCCUAAAAUUUCUCAUCAGAAGAAAAAAAUAUGUAAUUAUGCAUAGUGAUGGAUGUUAACUAGACUUAUUGUGGUGACCAUUUCACAAUAUACACAGAUAUUGAAUCGCUAUGUUGUACACCUGAAACUAAUAUAAUAUGUCAAUUAUAUCUUAAUUAUUGUUUUUUAAAAAGAGUGCUCGAGGUUGUUUUAUCAGAUGGACAAAAGAAGCUAUUUCAAAGGGAAACAAGAAGACCUAAUAUUUAGAGCCUAAUAUUUAGACUCCGUGGGGUCCUUGAGAAAUGACUCUGUGUCCUGGCCACACUACUGGACAGUGCACUUGAAAUACCAAGUAAAGUAAAAGAAAUAAAUGAUAUCAGUGCCCCACAAACAUUUUCACGUAGGAUGAUGUAGGAAUCCCGGGUUCCCUCCUACCCUGUCCCCCCCACACAAAUCUUGACCAGGGACAGAGUUACAGAAAAGAAAAGGCUGGGUAAAUUUACACCACAGUCAUCACCACACACCCGCCAGAAGCCUCAAAUUAAAAUCUGGACAGUAUUACGUGUCAGCAAGAAUGUGAAGAUAUGGGAAUUACAGUGUGGGACUAUCAAUUGGUUUGUUGACUUUGAAGAAAAAAAAUGACAAUAUCCCCAGUAAAGCUGAAGAUAUGGUUACCCUAUGAUCCCUGCUUAAUACCAUAAGUAAAUCCAUGUGAAUGGUAACCAGAUAUAUAUAUAUGUGUAUAUAUAUAUAUAUACACACACAGAAGAAUCGUCUCAGAAGCAUCAUUUGUAGCUGCCAAAAGUGAACACAAUCCAGACCUCCAUCAACAAUCGAAGGAAUAAACAAAAUGGUGUAUUAAUAGGAUUAACUUGCAGCACUGAGUAUGAAUCUUAAAUACUUAAUAUUGAAUGAAAGAAAUCAGAUGCAACAGUAUAUAUAUGUUACCCUAAUUACACAAGGGGAAAAAUAACAGGCAAAAAUCAGACUAUGAUUUUGGCAUAGAAAUAGACAUGAUAAGAGUAUAAAGAAAGGCAAGGGAGGGUUAUUAUGCUAAUUUGGAUAUUCGAUACCCUGGGGGCAAGAGGAGUCUAGCAACAGUAGGGGGCAUGCAGGAGACCUACUGGUGGUAGUAGUACUCUAGUUCUUGACCUGGGUUGAUGUCACACAGUUGUUUAUUUAAUAACCAUCUAUAUGUAUCCAUUUUUUUUGUUAAGAUUAUGAUAGUUUACAACCUUGUGAGAUUUCAGUUGUACAUUAUUGUUGGUCAUGUUGUGGGUACACCACUUCACCCUUUGUGCCCUCCCCCCACCCCCCUUUCCCCUGGUAACCACCGAUCAGUUCUCCUUGUCUAAUAUGUAUCCAUUUUUUGUACUUGUAUAUUUCACAAUGAAAAUGAAAUAGAAGAAAGGAAGGUGAAAAGAAAGAAAUUUCUCUAUUCAUGAAGUUCUUAAAGUUAUAAUUUUGGUCAAUCAGGUUCUUCUCCAAAUUCAGAUUCUAAAAAAGUGAAAGCACAAACACUGUUUUCAGGACAAGUGUAACUGUUCUUUGUAAAUGUAUUUCACGUCAAUGACCAGCUCACACUGACCUCUGAGUCCGUAGGUUACAAUCUGAUUGACUCAGUACUUAAAAUAAGCUUAACUGGACAUUUUCAAAGAUUAUUUUCACAGAGCUACAAUUCACUCAGGCUCUUUUUUCUGUGGAUCUCAAAACAGGAAUCCUGCCUCAGCAAAUCUAGUAUUUAUUUGUCAGUAUGCUUUGGAGGAGAAAGAAGAAAAUUCUUAAUUUUGUCAACUUAAUAAUAGAAAUUGAAUGUGACUGUUGGGGGAGGCAAGCCUCCUUUCACAAUUAUGAAAGAACACAGGUUUAUUAACCAUGGAGGAUCCCAAAGUGAAGCCUCUGGGUCUCUUCCUAGGUCUGAGUUGACUUGUGGUGUCUUCUUUUUGUCCUUUUCUUCAUAUUCUGAUGAUUCAGACCACUUAACCCUCCUUCAUGCUGACAGAUCACCGUUGGAGCUGUGAGGUUCCUGUUACCCCAAGCUGGUGGCAUAUUCUCUCCAGUUCCCGCUUUCCUCAUUGCCACUGGAAAAAUCCCCUAGGUUUCCUCAGUUUGAAGUUCUGCUUAUUUCAAAAUAGUUUCGUUAUCCCUGCUACUGCGAACAUCUCGCCCUCUUGUUUCCAAGAAAGUUUAAUGAACAGACCUCUUCUCAAACUAAAGAUGAAAUCCCAUCAUUCUACUUAUUUUAUGUAGGAAAUCCACAUCUACAGGACCCUUCAGAGAGGGACCCCUCUUGCCCUGGAGUAAUCCUAUUAAGCACCUUCAUCUCACUGUUUCUAAUUAUAAUAAGAAAGUCAGAAGAAACUCGGUUUCUCCUAUAAUGAAUUCAUACAAGAAUUUCUGCAAGUGACAAAAUGUUGGAGAGAAUGACUUCAACACUCAACAGACUGAUUUUUUUAAAAAAAUAGAUCUGAUUAUUUCCUACAAUGUGAACAGCCUCUGUGUGUCUCCUAUGGCUUGACUGACUCACAAAGUUGUCCUUUCUUUCCCUCCAAUACCAGAAGUUGGAAGGAAACCCCUCCCAGCUACUGUAACAUAUAAGCAUGUAACUCAUUGUCUAAACACUGUAAUCGUGGAGGAUAUCAAAACUUGGCAAAGUGGAGAAGAUUGUUCUGUGCCAUGCAUCAUGAGGUCAUGACCAUCAGUGAAGACUGUCAGAGCCCUCAGUGGCCAGAUGACCCGCGUGCAUCAACUGGCGUGGUGUCACUGAAUUGGAGAUCUCUCCUUGUGUUCCAGGAGUAAACACAUGGAAGAUGUCAUAGACACACAGAAGGGAAUGCUGUGUGAGGUCGUAGCGAGGACUCUCCUCUUCAGACCAGGGCAGGGAACCCAGCACACCAGAGGGAUAUGGCACCUGCAUAACUGCUUCAGUGUUUUUGUUAUUAUUGUUGUUUUUUAUCAAAAUAAAGCAUUGUUUGCUUUGAUUCUCAUUCAGAAUUUUCUUGAAGAUACAUUCCAUCCUUUGAAUUAUAGAAAAUUCCUGUAUUUCAAUGAGGCGAGGACAUAUUCACAGGAAAAUGGAGUUCCCUUAUACGUAUGAAUCUUCUUGUGUCCAUUAAGGAGAUAUGGCAAGACAAACUUUUCCUCAGCACACUCCACAGACAUCCACUGUUAACUCUUCCUGCUUCCAAUGUCCUAGUUCAACAUGUCAGUUCUGGCACUCCAAAAGUUCCUGGACCCAGGACCCUGGACCAGCUGGCUGUCCUACAAUGCAACUCAAUUCACCCAAAUUCUGACACUGUUUACCUGGAGACAGCAUCAGAUUCCACAGGUUGAGGGUUCAGUCCUACCAGACUGUUCCCCCCCAACCUCAGAUUCCAAUCCCAAGCCCCGGUUGUCACUUGCACUUCUGACCGACAGGCUAUAGAUCAGACGUUCCCACAACCUCCUCCUUGGGUUCAAUUUAAUUUGCUACAGCAGCUCAAAGAACUCAGAGAUAUGUUUUACUUUUAAGAUUACCAGUUUAUCAUAGAAGAAUAUAACUCUGAAACAACGAAAUGGAAGAGAUGCCUAGGGCAAGGUAUGGGGAACCGGCACAGAUCCAUGCACUCUCCAGGCACACUACUCUCCCAGCACCUCCACGUGUUCACCCAGAAACUCCCCAGACGCUGUACUGUUGGGGUUUUCUGGAGGCUUUCUCUCGUGGGCAUGAUCAAUUAUUAACUCCGUUUCUAGCCCCUCUCCCUCUCUGGAGGAUGAAGGAUGGGGCUCAAAAUUCCAAACUUCUAGUCAAGACUUGGUCUUUCUGGUAACCCGCUCCCAUCCUGGAGUCAUCCGGGGGCCCACCAGAGUCACCUGUUGGGACAAAAGAUGCUCCUACUGCUCUCACCACUUAGGUUUUUACAAGGGUUUGAGGAGCUCUGUGUCAGGAACCAGGGGAAGACAUCAAUAUAUAUAUUUCUUAUUAUUUCACACUUCCCAACUCAUGUUUACUCCUAUUCCAUGAGCUUUCAGUGUCCACAAAAUGUAACAUUUUUUUAAACAGUUAAACUCUUUAUAGAGGUACUGGAUCAUGUUCUCAGCCUAGUUUUUAUCCAUUGUCAGAGAUUGAAAUACGCUAAGUGCUCUUAGAAAUAUGUGUGUGAAUGAGAUUUUAUUUUGCUGAACCUACAAAAAGAAUAAUAUUGCAGUCUUCUCCUGUUUGUAGUACAGAUGUGGCUAAAGUGACAAGUGUGGAAUCCUCGCUGAGCCUUGACACAGAGGGAAAACGUCUCUUUGAAUGAUAUUUGAGAAUUCUAGAUGGAAGGCCUGUUCCAGGAGGGAACUCCUACCAUGGAAACUACGGUGUGAUAUGAACGAGGUGUGACAGACAGCGAGGAACCCAGAGAGGCCGGGUGGAUCACAGUCCUCUCUGUCUCCAAAGUCUCUGCCAGGUACGGCAAACAAUUAUUUACCAAACAUUUACUUUCCCAUCUCCACAUGAAUUGACCCUGGAAGUCCCAGACCCCCACCGCCAACAUCCCCUGUGUCUUCAGCUUGAGUUGGUAAUUAAGGUGGUGGCUUCAGCCGUUUUGGUGAGUUACUCAGUUUUCCUAGGUUUCUCCCAUGCAUACAUGUUAUUAAACUUUGUUUUCUUUUUCUCCUUUUUUCUGUCUUAUGUCAGUUUAACUCUUAGAACAGCCAGAAGAACCUAGAAGAAUAGAGGGAAAAUUCUUCCCCCCCAUCCUAUGUAGGGAUUCAGCUUCUAAUAGCCCCUUCUUUCCGGAUUUUGAGCCUCUGGCUGCAGUUUAUCCAUGUCUGCAUAUGCCUGAGGAGCAUAGCAUUUGUAGUCAGAUACUCAUGAACAGGCGUUACAGAUUACACACACUUCCCCAUCUGCGGCCUCUGGGAGCAGUCAAGCCCACCCAGGCUUAAUACAGCAGAGAAGGGUGCAAACGUGCUGUAUCGACAGUCAGUAUCUGGAGACAGUAAUGUGAAAUGGAAAAAACGUUGUGAGCUAAUAGGAAAUAUAGAUAGGUCUCUGGCCACAGUUCCUGACACAGGGCUCCUGGAACACUGGUAAAUUCCUAAGUGCCAAGAGCAAUAGAAGCUUCUUUUGUUCUAACUAGGCGACUCUGGGUGGGCUCCUGUGUGGCUUUUGGAUGCAGG